This 1178-nucleotide long non-coding RNA is filed under the name Salmo salar (Atlantic salmon). Its description in RNAcentral is "lncRNA (ENSSSAG00000088576.1, ENSSSAG00000095857.1)". The record is from RNAcentral. Lineage: Eukaryota; Metazoa; Chordata; Actinopteri; Salmoniformes; Salmonidae.
GGCUUGUCUGAUCUUCCUCUUCUUAAGUUUCUCAUCCUCAACGGAGGUGUCCACAAUCGCUCUCUUCUUGAUCUGAGAUGCAGCCUGAGCCAUGGUGCUGGGGAGCUGCGAUGGAGCGGAUAUCCUUAUAGAGCAGGAUCGCAGGAGGAAGUCCUACCAGGUCUGGAAACAGCUCCUCUCUGUAGUAUAGUAUCCUACCAGGUCUGGGAACAGCUCCUCUCUGCAGUAUAGUAUCCUACCAGGUCUGGAAACAGCUCCUCUCUGUAGUAUAGUAUCCUACCAGGUCUGGGAACAGCUCCUCUCUGUAGUUUAGUAUCCUACCAGGUCUGGGAACAGCUCCUCUGUAGUAUAGUAUCCUACCAGGUCUGGAAACAGCUCCUCUCUGUAGUAUAGUAUCCUACCAGGUCUGGGAACAGCUCCUCUGUAGUAUAGUAUCCUAGCACGUCUGGGAACAGCUCCUCUCUGUAGUAUAGUAUCCUACCAGGUCUGGGAACAGCUCCUCUCUGUAGUAUAGUAUCCUACCAGGUCUGGAAACAGCUCCUCUCUGUAGUAUAGUAUCCUACCAGGUCUGGGAACAGCUCCUCUGUAGUAUAGUAUCCUAGCAGGUCUGGGAACAGCUCCUCUCUGUAGUAUAGUAUCCUACCAGGUCUGGGAACAGCUCCUCUGCAGUAUAGUAUCCUAGCAGGUCUGGGAACAGCUCCUCUCUGUAGUAUCAGGGAGCAGGGCUGGGUGGUGGUGGUGUGAUGCUCUCUCUCAGGACAGCAGCAGAGGUAGUAACGCUAGCUAGCUAGCUAGGUAGGUAGCAGGGAAAAUAAAACGGACCAGGCUGCUCCUCUCUGGGUGGUGUGAUCCAGUGUUCUAGUAUCCAGGAGGAAGAUGAAGAUGAGGAAGAUGAGGUCUGGCAGCAGACAGACGACCAGGACGGAUCAGUCUCUAGAGAAACAGAAGCAGCUCUCUCUCUCCUCUCGUCUGCUGAUGUCUUCAUGUGGCUACUGGUCCUACCUGAACCACGACCCAUCGCAUUCCCUUCUCCCAACACAGCAUCCCUCAGACAGGACAGGCAAUGGAAUGAGAGGAAGGGAAGUAGGUAAGGUAGAGAGAGAUCGAGUAGGAAGGAGAGAGAGCGAGAGAGAGAGGCAACUGAGACUGGGAGGCAGUGUUACACCACCAGCUGGAAG